UUAGUUAAAAAAUAACAUUAGUAUGUCAAACUAAAAUUAUUAAAGUAUUUAAUAUUUUUUAG
RNAcentral lists this transfer RNA (62 nucleotides) under Bactrocera tryoni. RNAcentral's name for it is "tRNA-Asp". The record is from RNAcentral. Lineage: Eukaryota; Metazoa; Arthropoda; Insecta; Diptera; Tephritidae.